RNAcentral lists this ribosomal RNA (253 nucleotides) under uncultured bacterium. RNAcentral's name for it is "partial 16S ribosomal RNA". It matches the Rfam family "Bacterial small subunit ribosomal RNA", at positions 524 to 776 of the family's 1533-position model. The record is from RNAcentral.
UACGUAGGGCGCAAGCGUUGUCCGGAAUUAUUGGGCGUAAAGAGCUCGUAGGCGGCUUGUCACGUCGAUUGUGAAAGCUCGGGGCUUAACCCCGAGUCUGCAGUCGAUACGGGCUAGCUAGAGUGUGGUAGGGGAGAUCGGAAUUCCUGGUGUAGCGGUGAAAUGCGCAGAUAUCAGGAGGAACACCGGUGGCGAAGGCGGAUCUCUGGGCAGUAACUGACGCUGAGGAGCGAAAGCGUGGGGAGCGAACAGG